UGGGGGAUAUUGCACAAUGGGCGAAAGCCUGAUGCAGCGACGCCGCGUGGAGGGUGUAGGCCUUCGGGUUGUGAACUCCUUUUUCUCGCGAAAAAGGCACAGUUUUGGCUGUGUUGAUGGUAGUGGGGGAAGAAGCGCCGGCUAACUACGUGCCAGCAGCCGCGGUAAUACGUAGGGCGCGAGCGUUGUCCGGAUUUAUUGGGCGUAAAGAGCUCGUAGGUGGUUCGUCGCGUCUGUCGUGAAAGCCAGCAGCUUAACUGUUGGUCUGCGGUGGGUACGGGCGGGCUUGAGUGCGGUAGGGGUGACUGGAAUUCCUGGUGUAGCGGUGGAAUGCGCAGAUAUCAGGAGGAACACCGAUGGCGAAGGCAGGUCACUGGGCCGUUACUGACACUGAGGAGCGAAAGCGUGGGGAGCGAACAGG
RNAcentral lists this ribosomal RNA (421 nucleotides) under Fusobacteriota bacterium. RNAcentral's name for it is "Fusobacteria bacterium partial 16S ribosomal RNA". It matches the Rfam family "Bacterial small subunit ribosomal RNA", at positions 355 to 776 of the family's 1533-position model. The record is from RNAcentral. Lineage: Bacteria; Fusobacteriati; Fusobacteriota.